UACGUAGGGUGCGAGCGUUUAAUCGGAAUUACUGGGCGUAAAGCGUGCGCAGGCGGUCUGUUAAGACCGAUGUGAAAUCCCCCGGGCUUAACCUGGGAACUGCAUUGGUGACUGGCAGGCUUUGAGUGUGGCAGAGGGAGGUAGAAUUCCACGUGUAGCAGUGAAAUGCGUAGAGAUGUGGAGGAAUACCGAUGGCGAAGGCAGCCUCCUGGGCCAACACUGACGCUCAUGCACGAAAGCGUGGGGAGCAAACAGGAUUGAGAAACCCUAGG
Molecule: ribosomal RNA, 272 nt
Filed under: uncultured bacterium
Lineage: Bacteria
Description: partial 16S ribosomal RNA
Rfam family: Bacterial small subunit ribosomal RNA
Source: RNAcentral